UACGAAGGGGGCGAGCGUUGUUCGGAUUUACUGGGCGUAAAGGGCGCGCAGGCGGCUCAUUUUGUCAGGCGUGAAAGCCCCGGGCUUAACCUGGGAACUGCGUUUGUGACUGCAUGGCUUGAGUGCGGCAGAGGGGGAUGGAAUUCCGCGUGUAGCAGUGAAAUGCGUAGAUAUGCGGAGGAACACCGAUGGCGAAGGCAAUCCCCUGGGCCUGCACUGACGCUCAUGCACGAAAGCGUGGGGAGCAAACAGG
This 253-nucleotide ribosomal RNA is filed under the name uncultured bacterium. RNAcentral's name for it is "partial 16S ribosomal RNA". It matches the Rfam family "Bacterial small subunit ribosomal RNA", at positions 524 to 776 of the family's 1533-position model. The record is from RNAcentral.